CUGUAUUCAUGCAUGCAGCUUGCUGUUUGUAGGGUUUAUGAGUAACACAAAAGUGACUGUCCAGAGACCUCAGCCAGGUUGUGGCUGUUCUUCUCAGAGAUGUGCCAGAAGAAAGAAUAGCCUCUCUGUCUGGUCUUCCUAGCUCUUUUAAAGAAAAUUGCACAUAAAGUGGAAAGAAGACAAAUUGGAGAAUGCAAUAAGAGCUUAACCUUUAGUUCUCCAGUGAGGAUUUUUGGAGGCACUUCUCAGAGCAACAACUGAAAUGAAGGCCUUGAUUCACAAAACAGAACUUCUUCCCAGCUUCAUCCAACAGCACAGUGGUGCCAGUACUUUGACUGGAGGAGAGGUAUGACAUGUAUCUCUAAGAACAGAACCAUCAAAAAUUCCAUAAGAGCAAACUGGCCUCGGAGAAAAUUAGAAGGUAGGAGAAAAACAUCUUUAUUUAUUCAUCUUACCAUGACUUUUUCUGCCACUAGGUUUGCUUGAAGUGAAAUAAUAUUUCAGAAUUCAAUUCUGCUUACCUUAAAAAUGAUUUUAUUCUGUUU
This 545-nucleotide long non-coding RNA is filed under the name Gallus gallus (chicken). The record is from RNAcentral. Lineage: Eukaryota; Metazoa; Chordata; Aves; Galliformes; Phasianidae.